AUACGUAGGGUGCGAGCGUUAAUCGGAAUUACUGGGCGUAAAGCGUGCGCAGGUGGUUUUGUAAGUCAGAUGUGAAAUCCCCGGGCUUAACCUGGGAACUGCGUUUGAAACUGCAAGGCUAGAGUGUGGCAGAGGGGGGUGGAAUUCCGCGUGUAGCAGUGAAAUGCGUAGAGAUGUGGAGGAACACCGAUGGCGAAGGCAGCCCCCUGGGUCAACACUGACGCUCAGGCACGAAAGCAUGGGGAGCAAACAGGAUUAGAUACCCCAGUAGUCC
This 274-nucleotide ribosomal RNA is filed under the name uncultured bacterium. RNAcentral's name for it is "partial 16S ribosomal RNA". It matches the Rfam family "Bacterial small subunit ribosomal RNA", at positions 523 to 796 of the family's 1533-position model. The record is from RNAcentral.